GUCAUGACGUCAUGACGUCACACGCCGGAAAUUUAACUGGUAAAGGUAGACGCCGCGGAGGAGCGGGUGGGCGCCUUUUCAAAGUGACCAGUGCGGCACUUACUUAGGCACCAGAUAAGAGCGGCUCAGGCUAACGGAGUGGAUGCCCUGCGGAGGAGUCACUCACUGCAGCUGGAGCAGCUUUUCAAGGGGUGCGUGCGGUGGCGGUGUUACGGGAGGAGGACCGUGAGGACAGGCCGCAGCACUCACACCGUGACCCACUGACCGGACUGCGCAGCUCUGCAGUGAUGUGGGAGCCUGUGAUUCUGUUUCACUUGUUACCAUGACAACCUCCCUGUCCCGCGGCGCACCGUGACAUCAUAGCCCGGCGAUGCAGAGGCGAGCAGCGUGUGCAGGUGGGCGGCAGCGCCGUGAGGAUAGGCUCUGCAGUGAUGUGGGAGCCUGUGAUUCUGUUUCACUUGUUACCAUGACAACCUCCCCCGUCCCGCGGCGCACCAUGACGUCAUAGCCCGGCGAAGCGGAAGCGAGCAGCGUGUGCAGGUGGGCGGCAGCGCCGUGAGGACAGGUUCAUUGUUUCUAGAGAACCGAUACAAUAUUUGUGGGAACUAGGCUUUUCGUGGAUUCGAAUAGCAACUUGCUUAAACAUCAGUGUUUCAACUUUGUACAGAAGACGACAAGAACUAAACUUGCCUACAUCUUCUGACAACAGAUUCAGUGAUAUAUGUGAUGAACUUGAUCAGCAUAUCUUGAGUUUUCUAAAUUCCACACCAAAUGCUGGAGAAAGUUAUAUUCAAGGUAGUCUCAGAAGCCGAGCACUGAGAGUACAGAGGUGGAAAAUUAGAAGGAGGCUGCAACUUCUGGAUCCUGUUGGCCGAGCUGUUCGUAAAAGACGGGCUAUUCGGCGUAGAGUUUAUAGUGUACCAGGUCCAAAUCAUUUGUGGCAUAUUGACAGUAACCACAAGCUAAUCUCUUGGAGAUUUGUGUUCCAUGGUUGCAUAGAUGGGUUCAGCAGAAAUAUAAUUUAUCUUAAAACUGCUACAAACAAUAAUGCAUCAACAACACUGCAAUUAUUUCAAAAAGGUGUAUCAAGGUUUGGAUUACCAUUACGAGUAAGAGGAGACAUGGGUGUUGAAAAUAUUAACAUAGCACGUUACAUGAUUAACUCAAGAGGACCUAAUAGGGGUAGCUUCAUAACUGGCCAGAGUGUUCACAAUCAACGGAUAGAACGCUUAUGGGCAGAAUUAAACAGAGUUGUCAUCUACUACUUUAAAGAUUUAUUUUUAUGGAUGGAGCAUAGAGGAAUACUAAAUACUAACAAUGAGUGCCAUCUCUUUGCUUUGCAUUAUGUAUAUCUGAGAAGAAUUAAUCAUGCAGUAACAUAAUUUGUUGAACAAUGGAAUAAUCACCUUAUGAGCACUGAAAGAUACCAUUCCCCAAUGCAGUUAUGGACAGCUGGAAUGCUUCAUAAUCCAAUGUUUGACACAGAAGUAAACAUCGAUGAGUAUGGCAUAGAUAACUAUGGCUCUACAGCCACAAUAGAAACAAAUAAUAAUGUUGUUGUACCAGACAAUACCAUUAUAUUGGAUGUAGAUGAGAUGACAAACCUUUGUCUACAAUUUGAUCCCACAACAAAUGAUUUUAACCACGGAGUUGAACAUUUUAAGAACACCUGUGAUUUUCUUGAACGUCUAAAUAUAAUUGUAUAAAGAUAAUGAUUUUUAAAAAAAAUUCAGAACUUUAUUUGUUAAACCUGAUACUGUUACAACAUUAAAAUAAAUUCAAUCUCUGGAA
Molecule: long non-coding RNA, 1791 nt
Organism: Pseudophryne corroboree (corroboree frog)
Lineage: Eukaryota; Metazoa; Chordata; Amphibia; Anura; Myobatrachidae
Exons: 5
Source: RefSeq, a predicted model, not a curated record